RNAcentral lists this ribosomal RNA (278 nucleotides) under uncultured Staphylococcus sp. RNAcentral's name for it is "partial 16S ribosomal RNA". It matches the Rfam family "Bacterial small subunit ribosomal RNA", at positions 505 to 782 of the family's 1533-position model. The record is from RNAcentral. Lineage: Bacteria; Bacillati; Bacillota; Bacilli; Caryophanales; Staphylococcaceae.
GUGCCAGCAGCCGCGGUAAUACGUAGGUGGCAAGCGUUAUCCGGAAUUAUUGGGCGUAAAGCGCGCGUAGGCGGUUUUUUAAGUCUGAUGUGAAAGCCCACGGCUCAACCGUGGAGGGUCAUUGGAAACUGGAAAACUUGAGUGCAGAAGAGGAAAGUGGAAUUCCAUGUGUAGCGGUGAAAUGCGCAGAGAUAUGGAGGAACACCAGUGGCGAAGGCGACUUUCUGGUUUGUAACUGACGCUGAUGUGCGAAAGCGUGGGGAUCAAACAGGAUUAGA